AGUUUAUAAAUUGUUAAUUCCAUAUAUUUCUGGCUCCAUAUAAGCUGUAUGUCUAUAUCAGUUAAUAAAUAUCCCCCGAACCUCAGCUUCUUACCUCACAGAUCCGGUCUAAGACGACACGUUUAAAAUGACUAGCAUCAUAGCGGCCCAAGGGUCCGAGCUCAAUGCAUGUGACCCUCGCAUGAUGACUAAAAGAUGUUUCUCUACUUUCAGAAUACGCUUGCUAAACGUUAAAAUGAAGAUGAAAAUGACCAUGUUAAACAAUAAUUUUAAAAAAGAGCCCUGAGUUUUUGGAGAGAACAUAAUACUUUGGUUCUAGCAGCCAUUUUUAGAGCAUACUUUUGAAAAUGAAGUUUUUCUUUUGUAUAUGUACUUAAUAUGAAAUGUAUAUAUAUCCCAUUACGAAACAAAGAUAUCGUGUAUUGAGUAGUCUGAACAAUUACAUUGGGCACAAAUGGAAAAUAUAAAAAUCUGUAUCUUUACUGGUCAAAAGGCAAGAUAAAAACCUUAUGUUAAAUUCACCACAUUAUACUUAUAAAUUUGCAUUCAUGUUUACCUUACAUGUCCUGGUGAUGGGUGUGAA
Molecule: long non-coding RNA, 583 nt
Filed under: Bos taurus (domestic cattle)
Lineage: Eukaryota; Metazoa; Chordata; Mammalia; Artiodactyla; Bovidae
Description: long non-coding RNA NONBTAT020483
Source: RNAcentral